GCAGAGUGUGAUAUUCAUCACCAGAUGCCAUCUGAGCCCAGUGGAGAGGAGCAACAGGAGCCACCUAGAGCUGUGUUUCUGAAGCCAGAGCCAUGACCUGACACCCUGAUGCUACUGUCAGGGCCUCUGUGCAACUGGCACGUGCACCAUGGAACUCAAAGUGUGGGUGGAUGGAGUCCAGAGGAUCGUCUGUGGGGUCACGGAGGUCACGACUUGCCAGGAGGUUGUAAUAGCCUUAGCCCAAGCCAUAGGUCGAACUGGAAGGUACACCCUUAUAGAGAAAUGGAGAGACACUGAACGUCACUUGGCACCACAUGAAAACCCCAUUGUGUCCUUGAACAAGUGGGGGCAGUAUGCUAGUGAUGUGCAGCUCAUCUUGCGUCGGACUGGGCCAUCUCUCAGUGAGCGACCCACCUCAGACAGUGUGGCCCG
This 432-nucleotide long non-coding RNA is filed under the name Rattus norvegicus (Norway rat). RNAcentral describes it as "long non-coding RNA NONRATT021039". Lineage: Eukaryota; Metazoa; Chordata; Mammalia; Rodentia; Muridae. The record is from RNAcentral.